GACGAACCACACGAACGUUAUUCGGAAUUACUGGGCUUAAAGGGUGCGUAGGAUGUGCGGAAAGUUAGGUGUGAAAUCCCCCGGCUCAACCGGGGAAUUGCGCUUAAAACUACCGUGCUAGAGGAAGACAGAGGUGAGCGGAACUUCGGGUGGAGCGGUGAAAUGCGUUGAUAUCCGAAGGAACACCGGUGGCGAAAGCGGCUCACUGGGUCUUUUCUGACUAUGAUGCUCGAAAGCUAGGGGAGCAAACGGG
This 253-nucleotide ribosomal RNA is filed under the name uncultured bacterium. RNAcentral describes it as "partial 16S ribosomal RNA". It matches the Rfam family "Bacterial small subunit ribosomal RNA", at positions 524 to 776 of the family's 1533-position model. The record is from RNAcentral.